This 837-nucleotide ribosomal RNA is filed under the name uncultured marine bacterium. RNAcentral describes it as "bacterial SSU rRNA". It matches the Rfam family "Bacterial small subunit ribosomal RNA", at positions 37 to 889 of the family's 1533-position model. The record is from RNAcentral.
UGGCAGGCGUGGAUAGGCAUGCAAGUCGAGCGAGAAACCCGCUUUUGAUCUUUCGAGUGAAAAAGCGGGCGGACAGCGGCGAAAGGGAGAGUAACGAGUAGAUUACGUACCCGAGGGUUCAGGAUAGCGGGGGGAAACCGCCGGUAAUACUGGAUAACGUCUCCGGACCAAAGAUUUAUCGCCCUCGGAGCGGUUUGCUUACUAUUAGUUUGUUGGUGGGGUAAAGGCCUACCAAGGCUAAGAUGGUUAGCGGGUGUGAGAGCAUGGCCCGUCUCACUGGGACUGAGACACUGCCCAGACACCUACGGGUGGCUGCAGUCGAGAAUCUUCCGCAAUGGACGAAAGUCUGACGGAGCGACGCCGCGUGCGGGAUGAAGGCCUUCGGGUUGUAAACCGCUGUCAGAGGGGAGGAAAUUUUGACCGAUCCUCAGAGGAAGCACAGGCUAAGUUCGUGCCAGCAGCCGCGGUAAUACGAACUGUGCGAACGUCAUUCGGAAUCACUGGGCUUAAAGGGUGCGUAGGCGGCUGCAAGGGUCAGGUGUGAAAUCCCACGGCUCAACCGUGGAACUGCGUUUGAAACCGUGCAGCUUGAGGGAGUCAGAGGUAAGCGGAACUGAUGGUGGAGCGGUGAAAUGCGUUGAUAUCAUCAGGAACACCGGUGGCGAAAGCGGCUUACUGGGACUCUUCUGACGCUGAGGCACGAAAGCCAGGGGAGCGAACGGGAUUAGAUACCCCGGUAGUCCUGGCUGUAAACGAUCAGUACUAGUCCGUGGGGGCUUCCACACCCUCUCGGACGUAGCGAAAGUGCCAAGUACUGCGCCUGGGGAGUAUGGUCGC